Molecule: ribosomal RNA, 229 nt
Filed under: uncultured bacterium
Lineage: Bacteria
Description: partial 16S ribosomal RNA
Rfam family: Bacterial small subunit ribosomal RNA
Source: RNAcentral
CGCGUAGGCGGCUCGGUAAGCGGUGUGUGAAAUCCCCUGGCUCAACCAGGGAACUGCGCCCCAAACUACCGGACUUGAGGGCAGUAGAGGAAACUGGAAUUCCAGGUGUAGCGGUGAAAUGCGUAGAUAUCUGGAGGAACACCGUCGGCGAAGGCGAGUUUCUGGGCUGUCCCUGACGCUGAGGCGCGAAAGCGUGGGGAGCGAACAGGAUUAGAUACCCUGGUAGUCC